This 414-nucleotide unclassified non-coding RNA is filed under the name fungal sp. RNAcentral's name for it is "partial internal transcribed spacer region". The stretch from base 1 to 46 matches the Rfam family "Eukaryotic small subunit ribosomal RNA", at positions 1786 to 1831 of the family's 1831-position model. The record is from RNAcentral. Lineage: Eukaryota; Fungi.
AAGUCGUAACAAGGUUUCCGUAGGUGAACCUGCGGAAGGAUCAUUAACACGUUUUUAACGUUUAAUGUACCUUAACAUUAUUAAACUAAACCGGUAACCUAAACCUUCCCUAAUGGCAGGAUAACUGUUCGUCAACUCCAUGGUGGGUACAUGAGUCACAUCUGUACGGGGAGACGGGCUAUCAGCUUCGAGCUGACAGUUGUUCUGCUGUUGGGCCAAUUUUUUUUUAAUUCUCCCUCCCAUCAUGUCUUUCUUCUCAUGAGACAUGGUGGUGAUAGAAUAUCAAACACACCCUAUUCACCCUUUUAACCUUAUUUGACUGAUGCGCAGGAAAGGCCAGAUUUUCGGAUCUGUUCCUUAACUGAGUUUAUCUAAACCUAAGCACAACUCUUAGCAAUGGAUAUCUUGGUUCUC